CAGCAGCCGCGGGAACACGAAGGGUGCAAGCGUUACUCGGAAUUACUGGGCGUAAAGCGUGCGUAGGUGGUGGUUUAAGUCCGUUGUGAAAGCCCUGGGCUCAACCUGGGAAUUGCAGUGGAUACUGGGUCACUAGAGUGUGGUAGAGGAUAGUGGAAUUUCCGGUGUAGCGGUGAAAUGCGUAGAGAUCUGGAGGAAUACCGGUGGCGAAGGCGGCCCCCUGGACAAAGACCGACGCUCAGGUGCGAGAGCGUGGGGAGCAAACAGGAUUAGAUACCCGCGUAGUCCCUGUCUCUUAUAC
This 301-nucleotide ribosomal RNA is filed under the name uncultured bacterium. RNAcentral describes it as "partial 16S ribosomal RNA". It matches the Rfam family "Bacterial small subunit ribosomal RNA", at positions 509 to 807 of the family's 1533-position model. The record is from RNAcentral.